AAUGCCUAGGAAUCUGCCUGGUAGUGGGGGAUAACGUUCGGAAACGGACGCUAAUACCGCAUACGCCCUACGGGAGAAAGCAGGGGACCUUCGGGCCUUGCGCUAUCAGAUGAGCCUAGGUCGGAUUAGCUAGUUGGUGAGGUAAUGGCUCACCAAGGCGACGAUCCGUAACUGGUCUGAGAGGAUGAUCAGUCACACUGGAACUGAGACACGGUCCAGACUCCUACGGGAGGCAGCAGUGGGGAAUAUUGGACAAUGGGCGAAAGCCUGAUCCAGCCAUGCCGCGUGUGUGAAGAAGGUCUUCGGAUUGUAAAGCACUUUAAGUUGGGAGGAAGGGUUGUAGAUUAAUACUCUGCAAUUUUGACGUUACCGACAGAAUAAGCACCGGCUAACUCUGUGCCAGCAGCCGCGGUAAUACAGAGGGUGCAAGCGUUAAUCGGAAUUACUGGGCGUAAAGCGCGCGUAGGUGGUUUGUUAAGUUGGAUGUGAAAUCCCCGGGCUCAACCUGGGAACUGCAUUCAAAACUGACUGACUAGAGUAUGGUAGAGGGUGGUGGAAUUUCCUGUGUAGCGGUGAAAUGCGUAGAUAUAGGAAGG
This 596-nucleotide ribosomal RNA is filed under the name uncultured bacterium. RNAcentral's name for it is "bacterial SSU rRNA". It matches the Rfam family "Bacterial small subunit ribosomal RNA", at positions 112 to 704 of the family's 1533-position model. The record is from RNAcentral.